This is a long non-coding RNA of Anopheles gambiae (African malaria mosquito), 1966 nucleotides long. RefSeq lists it as uncharacterized. The transcript has 4 exons. NCBI's taxonomy places the organism in Eukaryota, Metazoa, Arthropoda, Insecta, Diptera, Culicidae. The record is from RefSeq and is a predicted model, not a curated record.
GCUUCGCGUUCACAUGAAAAUGUGGUAGUGUGAAAUCAAGUUUGCAAGCGGUAGGACGCGUCGGUGUGUGUCCGUUUUUUCUCUCGUAAAACCAGUACGGAAAAACUUUUUGAAAUCGUAACACACGCACGAACGGAAGUGAGCACGGACCACAACAGAAGCAAUAUUCAAUUGGUUGGAGUGCCGAAAACAGAACAGGAGAGGAAAGAAGGCAGGAACGAUCCGAUCCUCCAACGUGCUAGCGCCUGGUAGCGGAGAAGCGGCAGGAAGGUAGAGACGAACAUCCAGCUCGCUAGUGCAGCACGUGGGAGCAGCAAGAGGGAAGCAAGCAGGACGCGUACACACCAUUCGACGAAGGCAAAGCUGGAGGAAAGGAAGAACGAGGAGAGAAGGCAGGCAAGACGGGUACGUGUGUAUCCCGCACCGGUUUUAGGCAGUGUGAAUUGUGUGAGUAUGUAAAUAUGUAUGUGCGAGUAAGAAGGUAAAAUAAAGAGCGUAAGCAUGUGCAGAAUGGACAAAAGAGAGUAAGAGUCUUUGUAGGGAGAAUGGAGAGAAUGAAAGAAAUUGAGAAGGGAUGUAGCAUACAUAAACCAAAUGUAUGAUACACGCUGUCGCACGAUUUCAAAAACCUUCUGUAUCCCAACCGGCAUUAUCGCGCGAUUUUUAUGUGUAUCUAUCAUUUUUCUCUUUCUAACAUUCAGAAAAAUUUUCAUUCUGUCUUGCUCUUCUGGGUGUUGGUCACUCUUUGCUCGCAACUUGGCUGUGUCACAUCAACCAUCCUCAUGUUUCAUAUGGCUCUUCUCUUUCCAUCGUUCGAGAGAAACUCUUGUGUCUCGCUUUUCUGGGACUUGUCCAAUUUCGCUUGCUACACCAAGCGUUCACGCAAGCGAUCUUCUCUCGUCCGCUCUUUGUAUCAUUGUACAGGUACUCCCCGAUAUACGCUAUUAAUGCGGACCGGAGGCAUUAGCGUAUCUCGAAUAUUAGCAAAUGUCGAGUUUUCAGUCAAAUUAUAGCUAAUUUUCAUAUAAUUUUGCAUGAAGUGGUAGGUUUUAGCCGCUAAAUUAGUUAUUUGAUAUGAUUUCAACUGAAUAUUACAAUUGUACACAUUUUGAAAUGGUUUUUAAUAUUCGACCAAAAGGGAAUUUAUUUUGAAUUUGAUAUUCGAUGUGUCAAAUUAGUACAAUUUGCUCAAAAAACUUUAAAAUUUAGAAAAAAAGCUUAUAGCGAAAUCGCGUAUAUCGUGUAUGGCGUAUAUCGGGGAAUACCUGUAUAGCCACCAGAGGAAGGCGCUGCUUCGCGUUCAUAUGAAAAAGUGGUAGUGUAAAAUCAAGUUUGUAAGAAGAAGGACGCGUCGAUGCGUGCUCGUUUUUUCUCUCGUGAAACCAGUACGGAAAAAAAACUAUUUGGUAAGUACAGCUUUUAAUAAAGGAUUAUAUCAAUCUGUAUCAAAUUGAAUGGUAUUAAUAAUUGGUGAUAUCAAAUCAAUUUCGUUUUCUAUAGCAAAUCGUAACACACGCACAAACGGAAGUGAGCACGGACCACGAUAGAAAUAAUCAAUUGGUUGCAGUGCCAAAAACAAAAGGACAGGAGAGGUAGGAACGACCAUUCAACGCGUUAGCGCCGGACGAAGGAGAAGCGGCAGGAAGGCAGGAACGAUCCUUCAACGUGCUAGCGCCUGGUAGAGGAGAGGCGGCAGGAAGGUAGGGACGAUUAUCCAGCACGCUAGCGCAGCAUCUGGGAACAGCGAGGGGGAGGCAAGCAGGAAGAAUUUUUAACGCGUGCACACCAUUCGACGAAGCCAACGCUGGAUGAAAGGAAGAACGAGGAGAGAAGGCAGGCAAGACGGGUACGUGUGUGUCCCGCAACGGGUUUUCGGCAGUGUGAAAUGUGAGUAUUGAAAAGUGUAUGUGUGAGUAGAGGUAAAGAGGUAAAAUAAAGAGCGAAUGUGUGGAAUGGGAAAAUGAAA